RNAcentral lists this ribosomal RNA (391 nucleotides) under Halamphora semperpalorum. RNAcentral describes it as "eukaryotic LSU rRNA". It matches the Rfam family "Eukaryotic large subunit ribosomal RNA", at positions 167 to 528 of the family's 3401-position model. Lineage: Eukaryota; Bacillariophyta; Bacillariophyceae; Naviculales; Amphipleuraceae. The record is from RNAcentral.
GCCAACAAGGCUGGGCCAAGUCCGUUGGAACGCGGCAGCUGAGAGGGUGAGACUCCCGUUUGCCUGGUCUUGUGUGCGCAGUGUCCAGUGAUCGCUUGUGGAAGGUGUCGAGUCGAGUUGUUUGGGAUUGCAGCUCUAAGCGGGUGGUAAAUUCCAUCGAAGGCUAAAUACUGGUGGGAGACCGAUAGCGUACAAGUACCGUGAGGGAAAGAUGCAAAGCCGCGCGAAAGCGCCGUUAAAGAGUACCUGAAGUUGCUGAAACGGAAGCGAAGGAAACCAGUGCCAGUCUUGUCAUACUUCCCUCCCUGCUUGCGGCGGGGGCGCUGUGGCCGACGUUGUCAGCCUUGGUGGGACUGGGCGGAGGAGCGUGCGGGGAGCUGAUCCGCAUUGC